GUUAGGAAUAUUGGACAAUGGGCGCAAGCCUGAUCCAGCCAUGCCGCGUGAGUGAUGAAGGCCUUCGGGUUGUAAAGCUCUUUAGUCCACGAAUAUAAUGACUGUAGUGGAAGAAUAAGCCCCGGCUAACUUCGUGCCAGCAGCCGCGGUAAUACGAAGGGGGCGAGCGUUAUUCGGAAUCACUGGGCGUAAAGCGUGCGUAGGCUGUUUUGUAAGUCAGAAGUGAAAGCCCAGGGCUUAACCCUGGAAUUGCUUUUGAAACUACAAGACUCGAAUUCGGGAGAGGAUAGCGGAAUUGUCAGUGUAGCAGUGAAAUGCGUAGAUAUUGACAGGAACACCAGUGGCGCAAGCGGCUAUCUGGACCGAUAUUGACGCUGAGGCACGAAAGCGUGGGGAGCAAACAGGAUUAGAAACCCCUGUAGUCC
This 425-nucleotide ribosomal RNA is filed under the name uncultured bacterium. RNAcentral's name for it is "bacterial SSU rRNA". It matches the Rfam family "Bacterial small subunit ribosomal RNA", at positions 354 to 796 of the family's 1533-position model. The record is from RNAcentral.